This 519-nucleotide ribosomal RNA is filed under the name Colletotrichum gloeosporioides. RNAcentral's name for it is "eukaryotic LSU rRNA". The stretch from base 195 to 348 matches the Rfam family "5.8S ribosomal RNA". The record is from RNAcentral. Lineage: Eukaryota; Fungi; Ascomycota; Sordariomycetes; Glomerellales; Glomerellaceae.
GUAACCUGCGGAGGGAUCAUUACUGAGUUUACGCUCUAUAACCCUUUGUGAACAUACCUAUAACUGUUGCUUCGGCGGGUAGGGUCUCCGUGACCCUCCCGGCCUCCCGCCCCCGGGCGGGUCGGCGCCCGCCGGAGGAUAACCAAACUCUGAAUUAACGACGUUUCUUCUGAGUGGUACAAGCAAAUAAUCAAAACUUUUAACAACGGAUCUCUUGGUUCUGGCAUCGAUGAAGAACGCAGCGAAAUGCGAUAAGUAAUGUGAAUUGCAGAAUUCAGUGAAUCAUCGAAUCUUUGAACGCACAUUGCGCCCGCCAGCAUUCUGGCGGGCAUGCCUGUUCGAGCGUCAUUUCAACCCUCAAGCUCUGCUUGGUGUUGGGGCCCUACAGCUGAUGUAGGCCCUCAAAGGUAGUGGCGGACCCUCCCGGAGCCUCCUUUGCGUAGUAACUUUACGUCUCGCACUGGGAUCCGGAGGGACUCUUGCCGUAAAACCCCCAAUUUCCAAAGGUGACCUCGAUCA